Molecule: ribosomal RNA, 1346 nt
Filed under: uncultured bacterium
Lineage: Bacteria
Description: partial 16S ribosomal RNA
Rfam family: Bacterial small subunit ribosomal RNA
Source: RNAcentral
ACGAACGCUGGCGGCGGGCUUAACACAUGCAAGUCGAAGGAGAAGGCGAACUUCGGUUCGUUGGAGACUGGCGCACGGGUGAGUAACGCGUAGGUAACCUGCCUGUUGCUGGGGGAUAACAGUCCGAAAGGACUGCUAAUACCGCAUAAGGCAACGGCUCCGCAUGGAGACCGUUGUUAAAGCUCCGGCGGCAGCAGAUGGGCCUGCGUGCCAUUAGCUAGUUGGUGAGGUAACGGCUUACCAAGGCCAUGAUGGCUAGCUGGUCUGAGAGGAUGAUCAGCCACACGGGGACUGAUACACGGCCCCGACUCCUACGGGAGGCAGCAGUGAGGAAUUUUCCGCAAUGGGCGAAAGCCUGACGGAGCAAGACCGCGUGUGGGAGGAAGGCCUUCUGGGUCGUAAACCACUUUUCUCAGGGAAGAAGCUCUGACGGUACCUGAGGAAUCAGCCUCGGCUAACUCCGUGCCAGCAGCCGCGGUAAUACGGAGGAGGCAAGCGUUAUCCGGAAUUAUUGGGCGUAAAGCGUCCGCAGGUGGCGAUUCAAGUCUACUGUCAAAGCACGGGGCUUAACUCCGUUAAGGCAGUGGAAACUGAAUAGCUAGAGUGCCGUAGGGGUAGAGGGAAUUCCCGGUGUAGCGGUGAAAUGCGUAGAGAUCGGGAAGAACAUCGGUGGCGAAAGCGCUCUACUGGACGGCAACUGACACUCAGGGACGAAAGCUAGGGGAGCGAAUGGGAUUAGAUACCCCAGUAGUCCUAGCUGUAAACGAUGGAUACUAGGUGUAGCUUGUAUCGACCCGAGCUGUGCCGAAGCUAACGCGUUAAGUAUCCCGCCUGGGGAGUACGCACGCAAGUGUGAAACUCAAAGGAAUUGACGGGGGCCCGCACAAGCGGUGGAGUAUGUGGUUUAAUUCGAUGCAACGCGAAGAACCUUACCAGGGCUUGACAUGUCCGGAACCCCGGUGAAAGCUGGGGGUGCCUUCGGGAGCCGGAACACAGGUAGUGCAUGGCUGUCGUCAGCUCGUGUCGUGAGAUGUUGGGUUAAGUCCCGCAACGAGCGCAACCCUCGUCUUUAGUUGCCAGCAUUAAGUUGGGCACUCUAGAGAGACUGCCGGUGACAAACCGGAGGAAGGUGGGGAUGACGUCAAGUCAGCAUGCCCCUUACGCUCUGGGCGACACACGUACUACAAUGGUCGGGACAGAGGGCAGCUAACCUGCGAAGGCAAGCUAAUCCCAGAAACUCGGCCUCAGUUCAGAUCGCAGGCUGCAACUCGCCUGCGUGAAGGAGGAAUCGCUAGUAAUCGCCGGUCAGAAUACGGCGGUGAAUCCGUUCCCGGGCCUUGCACACA